UACGUAGGGGGCUAGCGUUGUCCGGAAUCAUUGGGCGUAAAGAGCGCGUAGGCGGCCCGGUAAGUCUGCUGUGAAAGUCAAAGGCUUAACCUUUGAAAGUCAGUGGAUACUGCCGGGCUAGAGUCCGGAAGAGGCGAGUGGAACUCCUGGUGUAGCGGUGGAAUGCGCAGAUAUCAGGAAGAACACCAACGGCGAAGGCAGCUCGCUGGGACGGAACUGACGCUGAGGCGCGAAAGCGUGGGGAGCAAACAGG
RNAcentral lists this ribosomal RNA (253 nucleotides) under uncultured bacterium. RNAcentral describes it as "partial 16S ribosomal RNA". It matches the Rfam family "Bacterial small subunit ribosomal RNA", at positions 524 to 776 of the family's 1533-position model. The record is from RNAcentral.